CGAGAAGGUCUGAGACGCCCUUCUCCUUCAGAGGGCCAGUGCUUCCUGGUCUUGGGGGCUCCUCUUGCACCCUCAGCCAGCAUCAUCAGGGAUCACCCUCAGCAGGGAUCACCAGCAGUGGAGCACCAGUGGCCCCAAACAAACCAACCAGACCAAAAUAAUAUCGCAAGGACUCUGAACUUAAAUUGUCAUUGGAGCCAUUGCCCACAAAAUUACUUAGGACCUGCCAGUUGUCCUAGACAGGCUGACUGCUUGUUAAAAUGGAGGAUUGGAAUAGGACCCAGAGACUCCUAAUAUAACAGGCAAAAAAUCCAGGAUACAAACAAAAUUCACCCAUCAUGCAAAGAACCAAGAAAAAUCACAAACUGAAUGACAAAAGAUGAUUAAUAGAUCCCAACACAGAGCUGAACCAGAUGUUGGGAUUAGCUGACAAGAGUUUUAAAGUAGCCGUCAUAAAAAUGCUUUACCAUGUAAUUUCAAAUUCUUUUGAAAUAAAUGAAAAAUAGAAAUAAAAAUUAUAGAAGCAAAGGAAGGAAGUUAUAAGAAGAACCAAUGGAAUUAUAAAGCUGAAAAAUACAACAAAAAUAAAAACACAUUGGAUGAGCUCAAUAGCAGCAAGGAGAAGACAGAGGAUAGAAUCACUGAACUUAAGCACAGAUCAAUAGUAUUUGCCCAGUCUGAACAAAGGACAGAAAAUAAAUAGAAAAGAAAAUGGAGAGAAUCUCAGAAACCCCAGAGAAAAUAGCAAAAGCUCCAAGAUCCGUGUUGUCAGAAUCCCAGAAGGAGAAGAGAAAAGGGCUUGGGUUGAAAGAGUUUCAAAGAAAUAAAGGAUGCAAACUUCCUAAAUGUGAAAGAUUUACAAAGAGCUGAGCCAAUCUCAAGUUGGACGAACCUGUGGAAAUCCAUGCCAAGAGACAUCAUAAUCAAAUGUGUGAAAACUAAAGCCAGAGAAAAACUGUUGUUAGCAGCCGGAAGGAAGCACCAUUUGAAUGACAGCAGAUUUCUUAUCUGAAAAGUGGAGGCCAGAAAGAAAAAGCGCAACCUUUCAUAAGUGCUGAAGUAAGAGAACGGUACACUAGAAAUUCUGUAUCUGGCAAAACAUCUUUCAGGAAUGAAGGCGGGAAAAAGAAGAAAACUAAGAGCACUUGUUACUAGCAAACUAGCCCUUAGAGAAUGAGGACCGGAACUUCUCUAAACAGGAGGAAAAUGACAUUAACGAAUCCUAAGAACUUUAGAAAGAAAAGAAGAACUGUCCAAUGGAUACAAAUAGCGCUCCAAACAGAAAACAACCCAGAAGUCCUUCAAUGGGUGAAUGAUUAAACAAACUAUGGUAUAUCUGUACCAUGGAAUACUACUCAACAAUAAAAGAGAAUGAACUUCUGAUACAUGAAACAACUUGGAUGAGUCUCCAGGGAAUUAUGCAUGGCGUGCCAAGUGGUGCCACAUCCGCACCAGGGAUCCGAACCGGCGAACCCCGGGACGCCGAGAAGCGGAACGUGCAAACUUAACCGCUGCACCACCGGACCGGCCCCCCAAGACCAGCUUUUGAUAUUUGCCAUUGGGUACACAAUUAUUUUACACAUAAAGCAUUCAUCUUGUGCCCUGGCUUUGGGAUCUAUGAGGACAUGUGGGAGGGCCAGUCCCCACCACCGCACGUUCGCAGCACAGUUGACAAAGACAGCCCAUUGAGGAUGUAUCUCCACACAAUUGGAUCUUGAAGAGGAUGGGAAAAUUGUCAAAACUCCCUUUUGAGGAAACCAAGGCUCAGAGAAAUCAUUUAAAAAUCAUUUAAGUGUAGGGGCCAGCCCCGUGGCCAAGUGGUUAAGUUUGUGUGCUCCGCUUUGGUGGCCCAGGGUUUCACUGGUUCGGAUCCUAGGUGCGGACGUGGCACCGCUCGUCAGGCCACACUGAGGCGGCGUCCCACAUACCACAACUAGAAGGACCCACAACUAAAAUAUACAACUAUGUAUGGCGGCAAUUGGGGAGAAAAAGCAGAAAGAAAAACAAAGAAGAUUGGC
Molecule: long non-coding RNA, 2018 nt
Filed under: Equus asinus (donkey)
Lineage: Eukaryota; Metazoa; Chordata; Mammalia; Perissodactyla; Equidae
Description: lncRNA (ENSEASG00005037259.1)
Source: RNAcentral